Molecule: ribosomal RNA, 694 nt
Filed under: uncultured bacterium
Lineage: Bacteria
Description: bacterial SSU rRNA
Rfam family: Bacterial small subunit ribosomal RNA
Source: RNAcentral
AGCUUAGUGCUUGCACUGAGCGGAGGAGUUGCGAACGGGUGAGUAACGCGUAGGUAACCUGCCUGGUAGCGGGGGAUAACUAUUGGAAACGAUAGCUAAUACCGCAUGAGAAUAGAUACUGCACGGUAUUUAUUUAAAAGGUGCAACAGCAUCACUACCAGAUGGACCUGCGUUGUAUUAGCUAGUAGGUAAGGUAACGGCUUACCUAGGCGACGAUACAUAGCCGACCUGAGAGGGUGAACGGCCACACUGGGACUGAGACACGGCCCAGACUCCUACGGGAGGCAGCAGUAGGGAAUCUUCGGCAAUGGGGGGAACCCUGACCGAGCAACGCCGCGUGAGUGAAGAAGGUUUUCGGAUCGUAAAGCUCUGUUGUAAGAGAAGAACAUCGCUGGGGGUGGAAAAUCCGGCGACUGACGGUAUCUUACCAGAAAGGGACGGCUAACUACGUGCCAGCAGCCGCGGUAAUACGUAGGUCCCGAGCGUUGUCCGGAUUUAUUGGGCGUAAAGCGAGCGCAGGCGGUUUGAUAAGUCAGAAGUAAAAGGCUGUGGCUCAACCAUAGUACGCUUUUGAAACUGUCAAACUUGAGUGCAGAAGGGGGGAGUGGAAUUCCAUGUGUAGCGGUGAAAUGCGUAGAUAUAUGGAGGAACACCGGUGGCGAAAGCGGCUCUCUGGUCUGUAACUGACGCUGAG